CGGCGGGNGGUAGUAAUGCCUAGGAAUCUGCCUGGUAGUGGGGGACAACGUUUCGAAAGGAACGCUAAUACCGCAUACGUCCUACGGGAGAAAGCAGGGGACCUUCGGGCCUUGCGCUAUCAGAUGAGCCUAGGUCGGAUUAGCUAGUUGGUGAGGUAAUGGCUCACCAAGGUGACGAUCCGUAACUGGUCUGAGAGGAUGAUCAGUCACACUGGAACUGAGACACGGUCCAGACUCCUACGGGAGGCAGCAGCC
Molecule: ribosomal RNA, 255 nt
Filed under: uncultured Pseudomonas sp.
Lineage: Bacteria; Pseudomonadati; Pseudomonadota; Gammaproteobacteria; Pseudomonadales; Pseudomonadaceae
Description: partial 16S ribosomal RNA
Rfam family: Bacterial small subunit ribosomal RNA
Source: RNAcentral